GAUGAACGCUAGCUACAGGCUUAACACAUGCAAGCCGAGGGGCAGCGGGAUUGAAGCUUGCUUCAAUUGCCGGCGACCGGCGCACGGGUGAGUAACGCGUAUCCAACCUUCCGUACACUCAGGGAUAGCCUUUCGAAAGAAAGAUUAAUACCUGAUGGUAUGAUGAGAUUGCAUGAUAUCAUCAUUAAAGAUUUAUCGGUGUACGAUGGGGAUGCGUUCCAUUAGGUAGUAGGCGGGGUAACGGCCCACCUAGCCAACGAUGGAUAGGGGUUCUGAGAGGAAGGUCCCCCACAUGGGAACUGAGACACGGUCCAAACGCCUACGGGAGGCAGCAGUGAGGAAGAUUGGGCAAUGGACGAGAGUCUGAACCAGCCAAGUAGCGUGAAGGAUGAAGGUCCUACGGAUUGUAAACUUCUUUUAUAAGGGAAUAAACCCUCCCACGUGUGGGAGCUUGUAUGUACCUUAUGAAUAAGCAUCGGCUAACUCCGUG
Molecule: ribosomal RNA, 490 nt
Filed under: uncultured bacterium
Lineage: Bacteria
Description: partial 16S ribosomal RNA
Rfam family: Bacterial small subunit ribosomal RNA
Source: RNAcentral